This 477-nucleotide ribosomal RNA is filed under the name uncultured organism. RNAcentral describes it as "partial 16S ribosomal RNA". It matches the Rfam family "Bacterial small subunit ribosomal RNA", at positions 333 to 801 of the family's 1533-position model. The record is from RNAcentral.
ACACUCCUACGGGAGGCAGCAGUGGGGAAUAUCGCACAAUGGGCGCAAGCCUGAUGCAGCCAUGCCGCGUGUAUGAAGAAGGCCUUCGGGUUGUAAAGUACUUUCAGCGGGGAGGAAGGCGAUAAGGUUAAUAACCUUGUCGAUUGACGUUACCCGCAGAAGAAGCACCGGCUAACUCCGUGCCAGCAGCCGCGGUAAUACGGAGGGUGCAAGCGUUAAUCGGAAUUACUGGGCGUAAAGCGCACGCAGGCGGUCUGUCAAGUCGGAUGUGAAAUCCCCGGGCUCAACCUGGGAACUGCAUUCGAAACUGGCAGGCUAGAGUCUUGUAGAGGGGGGUAGAAUUCCAGGUGUAGCGGUGAAAUGCGUAGAGAUCUGGAGGAAUACCGGUGGCGAAGGCGGCCCCCUGGACAAAGACUGACGCUCAGGUGCGAAAGCGUGGGGAGCAAACAGGAUUAGAAACCCCUGUAGUCCCAUGAU